UUGGCCUACUUAAUCAUUAUCGAUUUGUAUGCAACCUUUAUAUAUUGCACGCGCGAUGCGUAAUAAUGUAUUAUAUUAUUUAUUUUUUCAAAGGGAGCUGUUCCUAGCACAAUGUUUGUGUUAAAAUAGUCUUUUUAAACCUUUAAAAAUAAAAAACAUAUAAAACUCUUGUUUAGAUAUAAGAAUUCUAUGUUCAUGACACGUGGUCAUGGACAUUUCAUUAUUUGAAUAUUUAAAAAUCCAGAUCCAAAAAUGUAAAAUAUUAUCAAAUUAAAGUAUGUGAAUGGAGAUUAGAAAUUUAUUUUUUAAAUAUUAAGUUUAAUUUUUCUUAAAUAUGUUUUUAAAUUAAUUUUUUUUAAUGUUGUUUUAAUAUAAGUAUGUAAACAAUGAACGUGAAAACAAUGUUAACGAAUUCUGAAAUUAGUUUUCAAAAGUGAAAAUAUUUGGCCGCGCCAAGAUCCCCAUUUGUCUACAACUGUCAAAACCCUUUAUUUAAAAUAAAAUAUUAAAAGUCUAAUAAAAAUUAUAUAUAGUUAAAGUUCUAUAAUUAUUAAACAACAAUAGUGUAUAAUGGUACUUAUUUUAAGAUUUUUUGCUAUUUUCAAACAAAAUACUCAAAUUAUACUCUAUUUUUAAAUAAAAACAAUAGUACUAGAGAUACUUAUUGUAGGUAUUCACUAAUUGUACACAAAAAACAACACAUUGUAUUCUAUUGGCUAUAUUAU
Molecule: non-coding RNA, 725 nt
Organism: Cinara cedri
Lineage: Eukaryota; Metazoa; Arthropoda; Insecta; Hemiptera; Aphididae
Source: the annotation of a GenBank genome assembly